This 316-nucleotide ribosomal RNA is filed under the name Ixodes affinis. RNAcentral's name for it is "partial 12S ribosomal RNA". The record is from RNAcentral. Lineage: Eukaryota; Metazoa; Arthropoda; Arachnida; Ixodida; Ixodidae.
AUACCCUAUUAUUUUAAGCUAUAUAUUGGUAGUAAUUAAUAAUUUAUGAAAUCAUAAGAUUUUGGCGGUAUUUUAAGCUUAUUAGAGGAAUUUGCUYUGUGAUGGAUACAACGCCUCGAUCUUACUUAAUUUGGUUUUAAAAGUCAGUUUGUAUACCACUAUAUUUAAUUAUAUUGAAUAAUUAUAUUUAAGAUUUUUAUAAAAAAAAUAUAUUAAGUCAAGGUGCAAUUAAUAAUUAUGAAUGAAGUGAAUUACAUUAAUUUUAAUUUUAUUAAAAUAUUGAAAAAAAAAAUUUUUAGGAUUUAAUAGUAAAAUG